CGGGACGGGUGAGUAACACGUAUCCAACCUGCCGUCUACUCUUGGACAGCCUUCUGAAAGGAAGAUUAAUACAAGAUGGCAUCAUGAGUCCGCAUGUUCACAUGAUUAAAGGUAUUCCGGUAGACGAUGGGGAUGCGUUCCAUUAGAUAGUAGGCGGGGUAACGGCCCACCUAGUCUUCGAUGGAUAGGGGUUCUGAGAGGAAGGUCCCCCACAUUGGAACUGAGACACGGUCCAA
RNAcentral lists this ribosomal RNA (236 nucleotides) under uncultured bacterium. Its description in RNAcentral is "partial 16S ribosomal RNA". It matches the Rfam family "Bacterial small subunit ribosomal RNA", at positions 100 to 334 of the family's 1533-position model. The record is from RNAcentral.